RNAcentral lists this ribosomal RNA (301 nucleotides) under uncultured bacterium. RNAcentral's name for it is "partial 16S ribosomal RNA". It matches the Rfam family "Bacterial small subunit ribosomal RNA", at positions 509 to 809 of the family's 1533-position model. The record is from RNAcentral.
CAGCAGCCACGGGAAUACGGAGGGAGCUAGCGUUGUUCGGAAUUACUGGGCGUAAAGCGCACGUAGGCGGCUUUGUAAGUUAGAGGUGAAAGCCUGGGGCUCAACUCCAGAAUUGCCUUUAAGACUGCAUCGCUUGAGUUCGGGAGAGGUGAGUGGAAUUCCCAGUGUAGAGGUGAAAUUCGUAGAUAUUGGGAAGAACACCAGUGGCGAAGGCGGCUCACUGGACCGACACUGACGCUGAGGCGCGAAAGCGGGGGGAGCAAACAGGAUUAGAUACCCGCGUAGUCCCUGUCUCUUAUAA